This 387-nucleotide long non-coding RNA is filed under the name Gallus gallus (chicken). RNAcentral's name for it is "lncRNA (ENSGALG00010009572.1)". The record is from RNAcentral. Lineage: Eukaryota; Metazoa; Chordata; Aves; Galliformes; Phasianidae.
UGUGAAUCCCCCUCCUGCGGUCCUGCUGAAGCUUCCCAGCCAGAAGGGGGAUGUGUGACACGGCAGCAUUGGCUUUUUCAUAUGAAGUAGUGAUGCGCCCACUGCUGACAAAAAGAAGGCACUUUAAAAAUCUUUUGGUGUGCGGGGAUUGAUUGGGAAGCAAGGACUGCAGGACCCCACUGCUUUUAGAGCCCAUGGUUGGGUCUUUGACCUUGUAAAAGGAGGCAGCUGCUCCAGAGGAAGGGCAAUGUUAUCGUCAACAUUCAUGCUGCUGUCCACCUCCCCUCGUGCGUAGAGCUUGUGGAUGGGAACUGUUGAGUCACGGCCUGAACUACUGAUUGAUCACCUGAGGCAAGGGCUGAGUCAGGCAAUUCACCUGUGUGACUG